AGAGUUUGAUCAUGGCUCAGAGUGAACGCUGGCGGUAGGCCUAACACAUGCAAGUCGAACGGCAGCACAGAGGAGCUUGCUCCUUGGGUGGCGAGUGGCGGACGGGUGAGGAAUACAUCGGAAUCUACUCUGUCGUGGGGGAUAACGUAGGGAAACUUACGCUAAUACCGCAUACGACCUACGGGUGAAAGCAGGGGAUCUUCGGACCUUGCGCGAUUGAAUGAGCCGAUGUCGGAUUAGCUAGUUGGCGGGGUAAAGGCCCACCAAGGCGACGAUCCGUAGCUGGUCUGAGAGGAUGAUCAGCCACACUGGAACUGAGACACGGUCCAGACUCCUACGGGAGGCAGCAGUGGGGAAUAUUGGACAAUGGGCGCAAGCCUGAUCCAGCCAUACCGCGUGAGGGACGACGGCCUUCGGGUUGUAAACCUCUUUUAGCAGGGAAGAAGCGCAAGUGACGGUACCUGCAGAAAAAGCACCGGCUAACUACGUGCCAGCAGCCGCGGUAAUACGUAGGGUGCAAGCGUUGUCCGGAAUUAUUGGGCGUAAAGAGCUCGUAGGCGGUUUGUCGCGUCUGCUGUGAAAACCCGAGGCUCAACCUCGGGCCUGCAGUGGGUACGGGCAGACUAGAGUGCGGUAGGGGAGAUUGGAAUUCCUGGUGUAGCGGUGGGAUGCGCAGAUAUCAGGAGGAACACCGAUGGCGAAGGCAGAUCUCUGGGCCGUAACUGACGCUGAGGAGCGAAAGCGUGGGGAGCGAGCAGGAUUAGAUACCCCGGUAGUCCAA
RNAcentral lists this ribosomal RNA (781 nucleotides) under uncultured bacterium. Its description in RNAcentral is "bacterial SSU rRNA". It matches the Rfam family "Bacterial small subunit ribosomal RNA", at positions 8 to 798 of the family's 1533-position model. The record is from RNAcentral.